CUUAUACUGGAGGAUAGCUCCUGGAAACGGGUGGUAAUACUCCAUAAGCUUACGGCAAGACAUCUUGGUGUAAGAAAAGGUUUACCGGUAUAAGAGGGGCCCGCGUCUGAUUAGAUAGUUGGUGGGGUAACGGCCUACCAAGUCGACGAUCAGUAGCCGACCUGAGAGGGUGAUCGGCCACAUUGGAACUGAGACACGGUCCAGACUCCUACGGGAGGCAGCAGUGGGGAAUAUUGCACAAUGGGGGAAACCCUGAUGCAGCAACGCCGCGUGAAGGAAGAAGUAUUUCGGUAUGUAAACUUCUAUCAGCAGGGAAGAAAAAGAUGACGGUACCUGACUAAGAAGAACCGGCUAAAUACGUGCCAGCAGCCGCGGUAAUACGUAUGGUUCAAGCGUUAUCCGGAUUUACUGGGUGUAAAGGGUGAGUAGGCGGUUAUGCAAGUCAUAUGUGAAAUGUCGGGGCUCAACUCCGGCCUGCAUAAGAAACUGUAUAACUAGAGUGCAGGAGAGGCAAGCGGAAUUCCUAGUGUAGCGGUGAAAUGCGUAGAUAUUAGGAAGAACACCGGUGGCGAAGGCGGCUUGCUGGACUGUAACUGACGCUGAGUCACGAAAGCGUGGGGAGCAAACAGGAUUAGAUACCCUGGUAGUCCACGCCGUAAACGAUGAGUGCUAGGUGUUGGCGAGGAAUCGUCGGUGCCGCAGCAAAC
Molecule: ribosomal RNA, 707 nt
Filed under: uncultured bacterium
Lineage: Bacteria
Description: bacterial SSU rRNA
Rfam family: Bacterial small subunit ribosomal RNA
Source: RNAcentral